CGGCGGACGGGUGAGUAACGCGUGGGUAACCUGCCUCAUACAGGGGGAUAACAGUUGGAAACGGCUGCUAAUACCGCAUAAGCGCACAGUACCGCAUGGUACGGUGUGAAAAACUCCGGUGGUAUGAGAUGGACCCGCGUCUGAUUAGGUAGUUGGUGGGGUAACGGCCUACCAAGCCGACGAUCAGUAGCCGACCUGAGAGGGUGACCGGCCACAUUGGGACUGAGACACGGCCCAAACUCCUACGGGAGGCAGCAUUG
This 260-nucleotide ribosomal RNA is filed under the name uncultured bacterium. RNAcentral describes it as "partial 16S ribosomal RNA". It matches the Rfam family "Bacterial small subunit ribosomal RNA", at positions 96 to 353 of the family's 1533-position model. The record is from RNAcentral.